RNAcentral lists this non-coding RNA (28 nucleotides) under Rattus norvegicus (Norway rat). Lineage: Eukaryota; Metazoa; Chordata; Mammalia; Rodentia; Muridae. The record is from RNAcentral.
UGAAACUUUUUCUCUGGUUAACAUUGCC